Molecule: long non-coding RNA, 1701 nt
Filed under: Homo sapiens (human)
Lineage: Eukaryota; Metazoa; Chordata; Mammalia; Primates; Hominidae
Description: HSALNT0296823
Source: RNAcentral
AUGUUGAGUGUGGCCGAAAGGUGGGAGCGAAAUAAAACAAGGAGCAGAACCGCGAAGAAGCCAUGUUUGGUGCGUCGAAGUUUAAACUCGUAGGACUUGGGAGGAGCCAAGGUAUAUCCGCAGAAGAGACCACCCCUGCCCUUUCGCUUUGACGCUCAUUGGGCCUUUUGGCUGCGCAUUUCACCCCGGGCUGAGAAAACAAGCUGGGGAUUCGACAAGAAUGAACUCAAAGUCUGGAAACGGCAGCUUCUGAGAGUUUACAAUGUUUCACCAACUGUCGUCCAAAUAAGUCGUCACCCCUGUCAGAGUAGUUGCAGCUCUGCCGUUACCCACUGCUGUCACUGUGGCCGUUUUAUUCGCGAGGGUUACAGUUCUGUUUAGCAUGCAUCUAAUGACUUAAGACUCCACGCAAGUAAAACGGAGUUUCCUCCCAUUAAGUAUUGGCUUUGCUUUAACAGUGCUUUGAGAGGCUCUCUGUGGCCAACAUAUCUUCUCAUAUCUUUGUCCUCGUUUCCCAAUCUCCGCGUGGUGAAAUCAUCUAUCAAGACUUGGCUUAAAGGACCUCUCUUCUGCAAAUAAUGCCAUCUUCCGCUAGGUGCUCACUGCACACAGACUCGCCGCCCACCACUUCUGUCCACCUUCUGAACUCCGAUAGUUAUUUACCCAGAGACUGUUUCUCAUCUUUAAGUGUCGUGAAGACUUUAAGAUCUGUUUUAUCUCUCUAUACCCCAAAAUGGCCUAGCACAGUAACUAGGACAUUGUAGGUGCUCAAUAAAUGUUUGUCGAAUAUCAAUGACAGCAGGAGGCAGUAAAUGGUCCCUCUUUGUAGGGCCUACAGCUGUGCCUGAGUAGGAUGUACAGAAGUCCUGCAUACGUGUGAAGUGUCUCCAGGAAGCUGCACUGGAGGGGACAGGAAAUGGACAAAUGCUUUUGGAAUCCUGAUCUGACAUGAAAAAAGUUCACCUGAAGCUGCCAUCCUGGAAGACUAUGAGAUGGAGAUGCCCAAGAAGCCCCAGGUAUUCCUAAUCCCAAUUGUUUAAGUCUUUCCAGUGUUAACCACCAGACAUGUGAUGGAUUAAGGACUCCAGAUUAUUCCAGUUCCCAGCUGUCUUAGUCAGGGUUCUCCGGAGAAGUUAUCACAUGAUUACAGAGGCUGGCAAGUCUGACGUCUGCAGGGUAGACCAGCAAGUCAGAGACCCAUGGAAGUUGAUGUUGCAGCUCAAGUCCAAAGGCAAUCUGCUGGCAGAAUCCUCUCUUCUGUUUCCUCAGUGUGUUUUUACUUAAGAAACUGAUUGGAUGAGCCCCACCCACAUUAUGGAGGGAAAUUGCCAGUGCUCUGGAUGCAAAUGGAUUUUUCCUUAGGAAUUCAGAGUUGCUGAGUUUUGCAUCAAGACUGAAAGAGGCCAAAAAGAGAAGCUGUGUGGUAGGACUGUGUGAUGACUCAUCCUACUCAAAAUUCUCUAGACUCGGUUUGUGCAAUAUUGGAUUCUACAAUGCUGAGCAAGGGAAGAAAAGUGUUUAAAGGAGAGCCACAAAUAAGAAUAUAUAGGUUGAAUAUAAACUUUAUAGAGCCUGAAUAGAUUGGAAUGGAAUAGAUGGAGGCUUCACACUCCUUCCCACAUGCAUUGUCCUAUGCAUCUCUUCAUCUGGUGUUCAUCGGUAUCCUUUGUAAUAUCCUUUAUAAUAAGCUAGUAAAUGUGA